UCCCAGCCAUGCCGCGUGUGUGAAGAAGGCUUUCGGGUUGUAAAGCACUUUCAGCGAGGAAGAAAGCGUGCCGUUUAAUACACGGUACGGACGACAUCACUCGCAGAAGAAGCACCGGCUAACUCCGUGCCAGCAGCCGCGGUAAUACGGAGGGUGCAAGCGUUAAUCGGAAUUACUGGGCGUAAAGCGCGCGUAGGCGGCGUGUCACGCCGGGUGUGAAAGCCCCGGGCUCAACCUGGGAACGGCAUCCGGAACGGGCAGGCUAGAGUGCAGGAGAGGAAGGUAGAAUUCCCGGUGUAGCGGUGAAAUGCGUAGAGAUCGGGAGGAAUACCAGUGGCGAAGGCGGCCUUCUGGACUGACACUGACGCUGAGGUGCGAAAGCGUGGGUAGCAAACAGGAUUAGAUACCCUGGUAGUCCACGCCGUAAACGAUGUCGACUAGCCGUUGGGUCCCUUGAGGACUUAGUGGCGCAGUUAACGCGAUAAGUCGACCGCCUGGGGAGUACGGCCGCAAGGUUAAAACUCAAAUGAAUUGACGGGGGCCCGCACAAGCGGUGGAGCAUGUGGUUUAAUUCGAUGCAACGCGAAGAACCUUACCUACCCUUGACAUCCUGCGAACCCGGAAGAGAUUCCGGGGUGCCUUCGGGAGCGCAGAGACAGGUGCUGCAUGGCUGUCUCA
Molecule: ribosomal RNA, 678 nt
Rfam family: Bacterial small subunit ribosomal RNA